Molecule: ribosomal RNA, 253 nt
Filed under: uncultured bacterium
Lineage: Bacteria
Description: partial 16S ribosomal RNA
Rfam family: Bacterial small subunit ribosomal RNA
Source: RNAcentral
UACGUAGGCAGCGAGCGUUGUUCGGAAUUACUGGGCGUAAAGGGCUCGUAGGUGGCCAACUAAGUCAGACGUGAAAUCCCUCGGCUUAACCGGGGAACUGCAUCUGAUACUGGAUGGCUUGAGUUUGGGAGAGGGAUGCGGAAUUCCAGGUGUAGCGGUGAAAUGCGUAGAUAUCUGGAGGAACACCGGUGGCGAAGGCGGCAUCCUGGACCAACACUGACACUGAGGAGCGAAAGCCAGGGGAGCAAACGGG